This 497-nucleotide ribosomal RNA is filed under the name uncultured bacterium. RNAcentral's name for it is "partial 16S ribosomal RNA". It matches the Rfam family "Bacterial small subunit ribosomal RNA", at positions 28 to 507 of the family's 1533-position model. The record is from RNAcentral.
GAUGAACGCUGGCGGCGUGCCUAAUACAUGCAAGUCGAGCGAACGGACGAGAAGCUUGCUUCUCUGAUGUUAGCGGCGGACGGGUGAGUAACACGUGGAUAACCUACCUAUAAGACUGGGAUAACUUCGGGAAACCGGAGCUAAUACCGGAUGAUAUUUUGAACCGCAUGGUUCAAAAGUGAAAGACGGUCUUGCUGUCACUUAUAGAUGGAUCCGCGCUGCAUUAGCUAGUUGGUAAGGUAACGGCUUACCAAGGCAACGAUGCAUAGCCGACCUGAGAGGGUGAUCGGCCACACUGGAACUGAGACACGGUCCAGACUCCUACAGGAGGCAGCAGUAGGGAAUCUUCCGCAAUGGGCGAAAGCCUGACGGGGCAACGCCGCGUGAGUGAUGAAGGUCUUCGGAUCGUAAAACUCUGUUAUUAGGGAAGAACAUAUGUGUAAGUAACUGUGCACAUCUUGACGGUACCUAAUCAGAAAGCCACGGCUAACUACGUG